This 914-nucleotide ribosomal RNA is filed under the name Bacillus sp. ES3. RNAcentral describes it as "partial 16S ribosomal RNA". The stretch from base 1 to 724 matches the Rfam family "Bacterial small subunit ribosomal RNA". The record is from RNAcentral. Lineage: Bacteria; Bacillati; Bacillota; Bacilli; Caryophanales; Bacillaceae. RNAcentral also lists the same sequence under 1 other name.
CAAGAACGCUGGCGGCGUGCCUAAUACAUGCAAGUCGAGCGGACAGAAGGGAGCUUGCUCCCGGAUGUUAGCGGCGGACGGGUGAGUAACACGUGGGUAACCUGCCUGUAAGACUGGGAUAACUCCGGGAAACCGGAGCUAAUACCGGAUAGUUCCUUGAACCGCAUGGUUCAAGGAUGAAAGACGGUUUCGGCUGUCACUUACAGAUGGACCCGCGGCGCAUUAGCUAGUUGGUGGGGUAAUGGCUCACCAAGGCGACGAUGCGUAGCCGACCUGAGAGGGUGAUCGCCACACUGGGACUGAGACACGCCCAGACUCCUACGGGAGGCAGGCAGUAGGGAAUCUUCCGCAAUGGACGAAAGUCUGACGGAGCAACGCCGCGUGAGUGAUGAAGGUUUUCGGAUCGUAAAGCUCUUUUGUUAGGGAAAGAACAAGUGCCNAGAGAACUGCUCGCACCUUGACGGUACCUAACCAGAAGCCACGGUUAACUACGUGCCAACAGCCGGGGUAAUACUUAGGUGGCAAGCGUUGUCCGGAAUUAUUGGGCCUAAAGGGGUUCCAAGGCGGUUUUUUAAAUUUUGUAUUGGGAAACCCCCCCGGCUCAACCCGGGGGGGGGGAUUUGGGAAACUGGGAAAACUUUGAAGCCCAAAAAAGGAAAAGGGGAAGUUGCCCCGUUCAUGGGGAUAAAAUCGCCUAAAAAAUUUGGGGAGGAAAACCCCCACUGGGGGAAAGGGGCAGGUUUUUGGGUUUUGAAAACUAAACCCUUAGGAAACCCUGAACCUCGCGGGGGGGCCCAAAAAAAAAAGUAAAAAAGCCCUUGGGGAGUCCAGCCCCCCUAAAAAAAAAAGGGGGUGUUAAGUUUUAAAGCGGGGUUUACCCCCCCCUUUUUUGGGGGGGGGGGGAAAAACCAUUG